RNAcentral lists this ribosomal RNA (505 nucleotides) under uncultured bacterium. RNAcentral's name for it is "partial 16S ribosomal RNA". It matches the Rfam family "Bacterial small subunit ribosomal RNA", at positions 28 to 507 of the family's 1533-position model. The record is from RNAcentral.
GACGAACGCUGGCGGCGUGCCUAAUACAUGCAAGUAGAACGCACAGUUUAUACCGUAGCUUGCUACACCAUAGACUGUGAGUUGCGAACGGGUGAGUAACGCGUAGGUAACCUGCCUGGUAGCGGGGGAUAACUAUUGGAAACGAUAGCUAAUACCGCAUAAUAUUAAUUAUUGCAUGAUAAUUAAUUGAAAGGUGCAAUUGCACCACUACCAGAUGGACCUGCGUUGUAUUAGCUAGUAGGUGAGGUAACGGCUCAACUAGGCGACGAUACAUAGCCGACCUGAGAGGGUGAUCGGCCAACCUGGGAAUGAGACACGGCCCAGACUCCUACGGGAGGCAGCAGUAGGGAAUCUUCGGCAAUGGACGAAAGUCUGACCGGGCAACGCCGCGUGAGUGAAGAAGGUUUUCGGAUCGUAAAGCUCUGUUGUAAGAGAAGAACGGGUGUGAGAGUGGAAAGUUCACACUGUGACGGUAUCUAACCAGAAAGGGACGGCUAACUACGUG